AUGCUGGCAAAACAAUGUUGGAGACUUAUCACAAAUACUGAUACUCUAUGUGCUCAAGUUCUAAAAGCAAAGUACUACCCUCACUGCAAUUUACUUAAGGCGGGCCCAAAAAAAGGUUCAUCAGUCACCUGGCAAAGCAUUGUGGCUGGCCUUUGUACCUUCAAGAGAGGUCACAUUUGGAGAGUUGGCACCGGUGAAAUGAUUAAUAUAUGGGAGGAUGACUGGAUCCCAGGAAGCCCAUCUAGAAUGAUUCAAACACCAAGAGGUCAAGUACUACUAUAGACAGUUAGUGAUUUGAUUGACCCUGCUACUGGAAAAUGGGAUGAGCCACUGAUCAAUGAUAUUUUUAACCCACUCGACGUGGAAAGAAUUCUGCGGAUACCCUUAGGAGAACACCUCAACGAGGAUUUUGUGGCCUGGCAUAAUACAAAAUCGUAUAUGUUCUCAGUGAAGUCGGCAUAUUACAUUGAAUGGGACCAUGCUCAUAGACACCGACUGACUAGAGCGGAUGGACAAGGUACAGCCACACGCAAUCCAGUAUGGGAUAUUUUGUGGAAGCUUAAAGUGCCUACCAAAGUUAAAAUUUUUGGUUGGAAAGCUCUGCAUGGCAUAAUUCCGGGUUUGUCAGUCCUCACUAAUAGACAUAUUCCUACCACUGGUCAGUGUCCGGUUUGCUCUUCGGGUCCCGAAGAUAUUAGACACUUGAUGUUCACCUGCAAUCGAGCACAAGAAGUUUGGAACUCUCUGGGCAUGCGAGACAUUAUU
RNAcentral lists this ribosomal RNA (765 nucleotides) under Triticum aestivum (bread wheat). RNAcentral describes it as "partial small subunit ribosomal RNA". Lineage: Eukaryota; Viridiplantae; Streptophyta; Magnoliopsida; Poales; Poaceae. The record is from RNAcentral.